GACGAACGCUGGCGGCGUGCCUAAUACAUGCAAGUUGAGCGCUGAAGGUUGGUACUUGUACCGACUGGAUGAGCAGCGAACGGGUGAGUAACGCGUGGGGAAUCUGCCUUUGAGCGGGGGACAACAUUUGGAAACGAAUGCUAAUACCGCAUAAAAACUUUAAACACAAGUUUUAAGUUUGAAAGAUGCAAUUGCAUCACUCAAAGAUGAUCCCGCGUUGUAUUAGCUAGUUGGUGAGGUAAAGGCUCACCAAGGCGAUGAUACAUAGCCGACCUGAGAGGGUGAUCGGCCACAUUGGGACUGAGACACGGCCCAAACUCCUACGGGAGGCAGCAGUAGGGAAUCUUCGGCAAUGGACGAAAGUCUGACCGAGCAACGCCGAGUGAGUGAAGAAGGUUUUCGGAUCGUAAAACUCUGUUGGUAGAGAAGAACGUUGGUGAGAGUGGAAAGCUCAUCAAGUGACGGUAACUACCCAGAAAGGGACGGCUAACUACGUG
Molecule: ribosomal RNA, 497 nt
Filed under: uncultured bacterium
Lineage: Bacteria
Description: partial 16S ribosomal RNA
Rfam family: Bacterial small subunit ribosomal RNA
Source: RNAcentral